GUGGUAGACAGUGAACAAUUCCGCGUAGUGCUCCAGAUCUACCGGAUGAGUCUAAAAUCAGUCUAUAACCAAGAUUCAAUCUUUGAUACACCUAGAAAACAUAAACUAAGAGAAAAGUAAAAAAAAAACAGGAACUUUAUUUAAAAAAAAAAAUAUUAAAUCAUUACAGCAAAGAGUUAGACGUCUUUAAAACAGGAACUUGCCCUUCAGAGAAAUCAUCAAUUACUUAAAAACACAAUUUUCAUUGACACAAAUUUAUAUAAUUCAUUAAAUCAAAACAUGGCUGCAAUAGAUUUGUUUAACAAUUGGAAGCGAAAAAAGGAGUAAAUAUAUUUAAAACUAUAAA
Molecule: unclassified non-coding RNA, 346 nt
Filed under: Melitaea cinxia (Glanville fritillary)
Lineage: Eukaryota; Metazoa; Arthropoda; Insecta; Lepidoptera; Nymphalidae
Description: misc RNA ENSMCXG00005009600.1
Source: RNAcentral